AGUGGGAUAGCUGGGUCAAAUGGUGGUUCCAUUCCAAGUUUUCUGAGGAAUUCUCCAUACUGCUUUCCAGAGUGGUUGCACCAAUUUGUAGUCCCGCCAGCAAU
RNAcentral lists this microRNA precursor (104 nucleotides) under Marmota monax (woodchuck). Lineage: Eukaryota; Metazoa; Chordata; Mammalia; Rodentia; Sciuridae. The record is from RNAcentral.